Molecule: ribosomal RNA, 500 nt
Filed under: uncultured bacterium
Lineage: Bacteria
Description: partial 16S ribosomal RNA
Rfam family: Bacterial small subunit ribosomal RNA
Source: RNAcentral
AUUGAACGCUGGCGGAAUGCUUUACACAUGCAAGUCGAACGGCAGCACGGACUUCGGUCUGGUGGCGAGUGGCGAACGGGUGAGUAAUGUAUCGGAACGUGCCCAGUCGUGGGGGAUAACGUAGUGAAAAUUACGCUAAUACCGCAUACGAUCUAUGGAUGAAAGCGGGGGAUCGCAAGACCUCGCGCGAUUGGAGCGGCCGAUAUCAGAUUAGGGAGUUGGUGGGGUAAAGGCCCACCAAGCCAACGAUCUGUAGCUGGUCUGAGAGGGCGACCAGCCACACUGGAACUGAGACACGGUCCAGACUCCUACGGGAGGCAGCAGUGGGGAAUUUUGGACAAUGGGCGAAAGCCUGAUCCAGCCAUUCCGCGUGCAGGAUGAAGGCCCUCGGGUUGUAAACUGCUUUUGUACAGAACGAAAAGGUUUCUACUAAUACUAGGAGCUCAUGACGGUACUGUAAGAAUAAGCACCGGCUAACUACGUGCCAGCAGCCGCGGUAA